This is a long non-coding RNA of Ipomoea nil (Japanese morning glory), 537 nucleotides long. RefSeq lists it as uncharacterized. The record is from RefSeq and is a predicted model, not a curated record. The transcript has 4 exons. NCBI's taxonomy places the organism in Eukaryota, Viridiplantae, Streptophyta, Magnoliopsida, Solanales, Convolvulaceae.
AUAUAAUGCAAGCAACAAUAUAGUUUGGGAGAGAUAUAAUAUUAGUUUGUUGUGUUUGAAGGGAUCGGAGUAAGAGAUGUCUUCCGGUUGCAAGUGUGGCUCCGACUGCAAGUGCGGCAGUAACUGUGGAUGUGAAGAGGUGACCACCACCGUUACCAUCAUCAAGGGGGUUGCACCGGUGAAGUUGAGCUUAGAGGGAUCUUCUGAGAAGGCUACAGAGGGGGGACAUGGCUGCAAAUGUGGAUCAAACUGCACCUGUGACCCUUGCAACUGUUAGGGCUAAAAUAGUGCAAAUAUAAUAAUCACCCCUUCAAGCUAUUGAUGAUAUAUGAUGAGUGUAAUAAUAAGCAGAUUGCAGAUGAUGAGUUGUGCAGAUCUUUGUUGAAGUGUCACUUAGAUUUGUGUGAUUCAUUUAUGUUUGGAAUGUGUGGUUGCUUGGGUGUUUGGACUUUAUCCUUAAUGUAUAUUGAAAGAGGUUGACUGUACUGUAUUGAACUAAAAUGGUAUCAAUAAUGUAUGUUGUGUAACUCAUUUUGU